AGGUAAGCUACUAAGAGCGAAUGGUGGAUGCCUUGACUGGUAAAGGCGAUGAAGGACGUACUAGACUGCGAUAAGCUACGGGGAGCUGUCAAGAAGCUUUGAUCCGUAGAUUUCCGAAUGGGGCAACCCAAUGUAUAGAGAUAUACAUUACCUAUAUAGGAGCGAACGAGGGGAAUUGAAACAUCUUAGUACCCUCAGGAAAAGAAAUCAAUAGAGAUUACGUCAGUAGCGGCGAGCGAAAGCGCAAGAGGGCAAACCCAGUGCUUGCACUGGGGGUUGUAGGACUGCAAUGUGCAAGAGGUAAGUUUAGCAGAACAUUCUGGAAAGUAUAACCAUAGAGGGUGAUAGUCCCGUAUGCGAAAAACAAACCUUAGCUAGCAGUAUCCUGAGUAGGGCGGGACACGAGGAAUCCUGUCUGAAUCCGGGUCGACCACGAUCCAACCCUAAAUACUAAUACCAGAUCGAUAGUGCACAAGUACCGUGAGGGAAAGGUGAAAAGAACUGAGGUGAUCAGAGUGAAAUAGAACCUGAAACCAUUUGCUUACAAUCAUUCAGAGCCCUAUGUAGCAAUACAGGGUGAUGGACUGCCUUUUGCAUAAUGAGCCUGCGAGUUGUGGUGUCUGGCAAGGUUAAGCAAACGCGAAGCCGUAGCGAAAGCGAGUCUGAAUAGGGCGCUUAGUCAGAUGCUGCAGACCCGAAACGAAGUGAUCUAUCCAUGAGCAAGUUGAAGCUAGUGUAAGAACUAGUGGAGGACUGAACCCAUAGGCGUUGAAAAGCCCCGGGAUGACUUGUGGAUAGGGGUGAAAGGCCAAUCAAACUUCGUGAUAGCUGGUUCUCUCCGAAAUAUAUUUAGGUAUAGCGUUGUGUCGUAAUAUAAGGGGGUAGAGCACUGAAUGGGCUAGGGCAUACACCAAUGUACCAAACCCUAUCAAACUCCGAAUACCUUAUAUGUAAUCACAGCAGUCAGGCGGCGAGUGAUAAAAUCCGUCGUCAAGAGGGAAACAACCCAGACUACCAGCUAAGGUCCCUAAAUCUUACUUAAGUGGAAAACGAUGUGAAGUUACUUAAACAACCAGGAGGUUGGCUUAGAAGCAGCCAUCCUUUAAAGAAAGCGUAAUAGCUCACUGGUCUAGUGAUUUUGCGCGGAAAAUAUAACGGGGCUAAAGUAAGUACCGAAGCUGUAGACUUGCACACAACUUAGAUUAUUUAAGUUUAGAAUAUGAGAAACUAAGUUAUAUGUUUAGUUAUAUUUUUACUGAUUUUUAUAGAGUAAAGAUAGAAAUAAAACUUAGUAAAAUCAGUAAAAAUAUUCUUAGACUAAAGUUAAGUAGUUUAAGUUGUGUGCAAGUGGUAGGAGAGCGUUCUAUUUGCGUCGAAGGUAUACCGGUAAGGAGUGCUGGAGCGAAUAGAAGUGAGCAUGCAGGCAUGAGUAGCGAUAAUUAAUGUGAGAAUCAUUAACGCCGUAAACCCAAGGUUUCCUACGCGAUGCUCGUCAUCGUAGGGUUAGUCGGGUCCUAAGUCGAGUCCGAAAGGGGUAGACGAUGGCAAAUUGGUUAAUAUUCCAAUACCAACAUUAGUGUGCGAUGGAAGGACGCUUAGGGCUAAGGGGGCUAGCGGAUGGAAGUGCUAGUCUAAGGUCGUAGGAGGUUGUACAGGCAAAUCCGUAUAACAAUACUCCGAGAACUGAAAGGCUUUUUGAAGUCUUCGGAUGGAUAGAAGAACCCCUGAUGCCGUCGAGCCAAGAAAAGUUUCUAAGUUUAGCUAAUGUUGCCCGUACCGUAAACCGACACAGGUGGGUGGGAUGAGUAUUCUAAGGCGCGUGGAAGAACUCUCUUUAAGGAACUCUGCAAAAUAGCACCGUAUCUUCGGUAUAAGGUGUGGUUAGCUUUGUAUUAGGAUUUACUCCGAAAGCAAGGAAACUUACAACAAAGAGUCCCUCCCGACUGUUUACCAAAAACACAGCACUCUGCUAACUCGUAAGAGGAUGUAUAGGGUGUGACGCCUGCCCGGUGCUCGAAGGUUAAUUGAUGGGGUUAGCAUUAGCGAAGCUCUUGAUCGAAGCCCGAGUAAACGGCGGCCGUAACUAUAACGGUCCUAAGGUAGCGAAAUUCCUUGUCGGUUAAAUACCGACCUGCAUGAAUGGCGUAACGAGAUGGGAGCUGUCUCAAAGAGGGAUCCAGUGAAAUUGUAGUGGAGGUGAAAAUUCCUCCUACCCGCGGCAAGACGGAAAGACCCCGUGGACCUUUACUACAGCUUGACACUGCUACUUGGAUAAGAAUGUGCAGGAUAGGUGGGAGGCUUUGAGUAUAUGACGCCAGUUGUAUAUGAGCCAUUGUUGAGAUACCACUCUUUCUUAUUUGGGUAGCUAACCAGCUUGAGUUAUCCUCAAGUGGGACAAUGUCUGGUGGGUAGUUUGACUGGGGCGGUCGCCUCCCAAAUAAUAACGGAGGCUUACAAAGGUUGGCUCAGAACGGUUGGAAAUCGUUCGUAGAGUAUAAAGGUAUAAGCCAGCUUAACUGCAAGACAUACAAGUCAAGCAGAGACGAAAGUCGGUCUUAGUGAUCCGGUGGUUCUGUGUGGAAGGGCCAUCGCUCAAAGGAUAAAAGGUACCCCGGGGAUAACAGGCUGAUCUCCCCCAAGAGCUCACAUCGACGGGGAGGUUUGGCACCUCGAUGUCGGCUCAUCGCAUCCUGGGGCUGGAGCAGGUCCCAAGGGUAUGGCUGUUCGCCAUUUAAAGCGGUACGCGAGCUGGGUUCAGAACGUCGUGAGACAGUUCGGUCCCUAUCUGCCGUGGGCGUAAGAAGAUUGAAGAGAUUUGACCCUAGUACGAGAGGACCGGGUUGAACAAACCACUGGUGUAGCUGUUGUUCUGCCAAGAGCAUCGCAGCGUAGCUAAGUUUGGAAAGGAUAAACGCUGAAAGCAUCUAAGCGUGAAGCCAACUCUAAGAUGAAUCUUCUCUAAGCUCUCUAGAAGACUACUAGUUUGAUAGGCUGGGUGUGUAAUGGAUGAAAGUCCUUUAGCUGACCAGUACUAAUAGAGCGUUUGGCUUAUCUUU
This 3056-nucleotide ribosomal RNA is filed under the name Campylobacter jejuni. Its description in RNAcentral is "23S ribosomal RNA". It matches the Rfam family "Bacterial large subunit ribosomal RNA". The record is from RNAcentral. Lineage: Bacteria; Pseudomonadati; Campylobacterota; Epsilonproteobacteria; Campylobacterales; Campylobacteraceae.